UGUUUAGCUUAUGGCCUCUACAGAAACAGUUGAUGAGCAGGAUUUGGCCUGUGAGUUAUAGUAUCCUGAUCCCUGGACAAAAAAUUCAAAAUUAAUUGAUAUAAAAAAGAAAAUUGAAAUCAAUUGAAAAACUCCAAAUCCAUUCAUCAUAAAAACUCUGGUAGGCGUUCCCUCUGGCACAAUGGGAUUGGCAGCAUCUCUGCAGUGCCAGGAUGCAGGUUUGAUCCUUGUCCGGCACAGUGGGUUAAAGAAGCUGGCAUUGCCACAGCUCUGGUGUAGGUCGCAACUUUGGCUCAGAUCUGAUCCCUGGCCCGGGAAUUCCAUAAGCUGCAGGGUGCUACCCCCCAAAAAACCCCUCUAGUAUAUUAGGAAUAGAAAGGAACUUCCUUAAUAAAUGGUACCUACAAAAAAAUCUAUAAUUAACAUCAGGAUUAGUAUGAAAGGUUUCAUAUUUUACCCCAGGAUCAAGAACAAAGCAAAGAUACAUUAUUUUUAACAUCAUAGGCUGACUAGCCAGUACGAUAAAGCAAGGGGAGAAAAAACCAUAUAGAUUGGAACGGAUGACAUGAUCAUUAAAGUAGAAAUCUCUAGAGUCUAUUUUUAAAGGCUCCUAGACUUAACAAGUGAAUUUAGCAUAGUUGCCUAAUAAAAGGUCCACAUAUGGAGUUCCUGGUGUGGCACAACAAGGAUCAGCAGCAUCUUGGGAGAACUGGGUUGAGGUUCCAUCUCCCGUUUAGCACAGUGGGUGAAGGAUCUGGAAUUGCUGCUGCUGUGACUUAGGUCACAACUCUGGCUUGGAUCUGAUCCCUGGCCCAGGAACUUCAUAUGCUGCAGGGUGGCCAGAAAUGAAAAAGAAAAAUAAAAGGUCAACAUACAAAAAUUAAAAUGCAAUUUAUACAAUAUUAAUGUAUAAAUCUGGUUUUUUUUUUUUUUUUUGAAAGAAAAUCUCUUUAUUCUAAUUAAUUCACAAACAAUAACAUCAGAAAAGCAUGUUUCAGAGGCCACAUAAACAUCUGCCCAGCCCCAAACUCAAUACUCAAUGAACUUCCACAUCAGAAGAAUACCCUCCUCCACUGCAAUUCUGAAGCACGAAAGCUAUUAGUGAUAGAGGAGAGGUUUAAUCUUGAUUUCACACUUUAUAUCUUCAUGAUCAAUCACAUUUUUAUGCUAAAUCAACCAGGUCAUGGGGGGUGAUUUUUCAUGUCUUCAAUGGAGCUUCUUGCUUAAGAUAAUCCAUUUGCCAGUCUGCAUUGUUUCAACACCUCGCUGAAACCCUCACAAAGCUUAAGGUCACCCUGGUUCUGGGCACACUCCAAAAACUGUUUCACCUCAUAGAAGCAUGGGCCAAUCUGCUGCUGCUGUGCUGGCUGGGCUCCCUGAGGCUCCUGGUAAGUGAUGUCAGGCCUUGAGGGCUCAGCACUACUUCCUCCACCGAAGCCCCCAGUGAUCGCAUGACCUAUCGUGUGGCCGACGGCAGAACCCACAGCCACGCCGGCUACAGUGGUUGCCAUCUGGGCCAUGAGACCUGGCUGCUGAGGUGCAGCAGCAGGGGAGCCAACAGCAGAUGGUGGAGCUGCUGCUGGUGGCUGAGCUGCCAGCGCUGGCCUGGGUGCAGCUCUCAUCUGAGGUGCCCGGCUAGCCGGAGGGGCCAUGUGGAAACUGCGGCUUCGGCUUCCACGAGGCAUCGUAACUGCGCAACGAACGCGAACCUAGAAGACAGAGAAACUCAGAGAAGACCCUGGCGGCUUCUCAUAAAUCUGUUUUUAAAAUACCUUUUAUUUAAGAAAAAGGAAAUACUUUGAUAUAAACCUGAAAAUGUGUGCAGGAGCUAUAUGCUUAAAAAUAAAAAAAAGCUAAUGAAGAAGAUCAAAAGACAUCUAAAAAUCUAAAUAAAUGGAGAGAUAUAUUAUGAUCAUGGAUUGAAAAAUUAAAUAUGGUUAAGAUGCUAAUUUUAAAAAAAGUGAUCUAUAGAUUUAACACAACUCCAGUCAAAAUCCCAGGAUCACUCAUUGUAUAUAUUGACAACUUAAUUUUAAAUUCUAUAUAGAAAGUGAGAGGAACUUGAACAGCCAAAAUAAUUUUGAAAAGAAGAAAAUCUGAUUUUAAGACUUACUAUAAAAUCACAGUUAUCAAGACAGUAUGGUAAUAGUAAGAGGUUAACCACACACAAACACAUAGAUCAAAGGAACAGGACAGAUUAUAGGUGUGAAUCCACACAAAUGUAAGCUUUUUCAUUGAGGUACAUUUACAUAACAUGAAAUUCAUCAUUUUAACUCUCUCUUUUUUCUUUUUUAAGUCAUUUUAGGGCCUCACCUGUGGAACAUGGAGGUUCCCAAGUUAGGGGUCGAAUUAUAGCUAUGGCUGCCAGCCUGCACCACAGCCAUAGCAAUUCAGGAUUUGAGCCAUGUCUACAACACCACAGCUCAUGGCAUUGCUGGAUCCUUAACCCACUCAGUGAGGCCAGGGAUCAAACCUGUGUCCUCAUGGAUUCUAGUCAGAUUCAUUUCCGCUGAGUCAUGAUGGGAAUUCCUCAUUAUUUUAACCAUUUUUAAGAGUAUAGUUCAAUGCUAUCUUUGGUAUUAAGGUCUGUAGUAAUUUCCUCACUUUUGUUUCUUAUUUUAAUCGGAGUCUUUUCUCAAAGAUUUGCCGAUUUUGUUGCUCUUUGAAAAUAUCUUAGGUUCAUUUAUUUUCCCUCUUGUUUCUCUGUUCUUUAUCUCCACUCUAAUCUUCAUUAUUACCUUCCUUCUGCUAGUUUUGAGUUUUUCCAAGUGCUUUAAGGUGCCAAUUUAAGUGGCUAAUUGGAGACAUUUUUUAAUGUAGGAACAUAGGCAUUUAAAGCUACAAAUUUCCUUCUGAGCAUAUUUCACUGCAUCACAAAAAUUUUGGUACAGCAUGUUUAUGUUUCUUUCAUUUGUGUCUUCUAAUUUGUCUUGUGAUCUUUCCUUUAGCCCACUGGUUGUUUAAGAGCAUGUUACUGUGUGCAUAUUUGUGAAUAUUCCAGUUUUCCUUCUGUUGGUGCUGGGGGUAAUUUCAUAGGAAUUUCUUUACUAGUUUGAGCAGGGGAAGAAAUUCAUGAGUAGACCAGAAGAAGCAGAAUUCUUGUAGAAUGGAUUCUGGCAAUCUCUACACAGGACUACUGUUAUUUUAUCAACAUGUGAUAAAAUAAGGUUAUAUUUUAUUGAAAUGACUCUCUCCAGCAUUGACAGCAACAACUACAGGGAAACUUAAGUUUUGAUCCUACGAUGGGUGGAGGAAAAAACGUCAAGCAGAGACCUGCCUUCUCCCACAAGAAUAAGAGAUCAUAAUAAAGGCGUUCAUUCCUUCUACUCCAGCAGCAAGAUUUAAACCUGCAUUUGGAAACAGAGCAUGGAAACAGAUACUCCUGUUGGCAAAGUUACACAAUUUUUUUUGAAUGGCUGCAUCGAAGGCAUAUGGAAGCUCCCAGGCCAGGGACUGAAUUCCAGCCACAGCUGCAACCCCAUGCCUUGCAGCAAGCCAGAUCCUUUAACCCACUGCACCAGGCCAGGAAUCAAACUGGUGCCUUUGCUUCGAUUAGUUAGAUUCUAAACCCACCUUGUCACAGCAGGAACUCCUACAUACUUUCUUUUCAUUUUUUCAUGUUUCAUUUCUUUUUUGGCUGCCUGAAGGCAAAUGGAGUUUCUGGGCCAGGGAUCAGAUCCAAGCCACAGUUGUGACCUGUGCUGCUGGUAUGGCAACAUUGGAUCUUUAACCCACUGUGCCGGGCCAGGGAUCAAACCUUUGUCCUGGCCCUGCAGAGAUGCCACCAAUCCCAUUGUGCUUUUUAAAUGCCAACUUUUCUACAUUUCACACCAGUAAAGCUGCACUUAAAUUGAUGUUACUUAUAAUGGUCAUGAGAUGAGUGAUGUAGCUCCACAGUUUAUUACUGCAUCUCCAAUUCCUAGAAAUGUCACUUCAUUGAAAUGCCCAGUAAACGACUGACUUGUAUUACUUUAACGAUUCUCCUAUUAAUACUCUUAGAAUUGAUUUCCAGUUUGGAAGUAUUACUACAGUGAGAAGUGAAUUACUAUAAUAUCCUCUUUUUUAUGUUUUUAUUUUCUUUUGCUAACAUGUUCUCAACUUUAGAAAUUCUUCUCUGAAUGGUUUCACAGAUGCGAACUUCAGGACAGAGGUGGAGGAGUAAGAGUCUACUGCUGCAGAAGAAACAGAAGGACAGAUUCCUUUUUUUGGCCCUUUUGUCUCUUAGGGCCACACCCACAGCAUAUGGAGGUUCCCAGGCUAGGGGUCCAACUGGAACUGUAGCCACCGGCCUAUGCCAGAGCCACAGCAAUGCAGGAUCUGAGCUGUGUCUGCAACCUACACCACUCUCAUGGCAAUGCUGGAUCCUUUAGCCCACUGAGUGAGGUGAGGGAUCGAACCCACAUCCUCAUGGAUGCUAGUCGGGUUCACUAACUACUGAGCCAUGACAGGAACUCCAGGACAGGUUCCUUUUGAGGUAACAUGAUACCAUGAAUAAAUUAGUACAUUUGUCACCUUUUAAAAUUACAAUGGCUAGCCUCAUGGGGAAAUUGGAAGAGAUGAAUUUCUACUUGCUAAAAUAUCUUGGCCUCCUUCAAUUUAGUUUCCUGAAUGAGGUGGUGAGUCAGAUGAGCUCUGAAGUCCAUUUGAGCUCAAGGUUUUUAUUCUUCUUGACCUGAGAGUGCCAGGGAAGGUGGCAGCAUUUCAGGGCUGAUGCAGGUGCACUGGGUUUAUGGAAGCCAAGAUGAUAAGCCUCACAUGAGCUCCAUGGGAUGAGGUUCUGCUCUCAGGACAUGCUGGCAGUCACCCCCACUUAGGACAUAACCUGAAUUUUAAUGACUGAAGACAUAGGUACCCUGUGGAUAUUUUCAUAAAUGCCAAAGUUCACACAUUGUGGCUGAUUGACUAUAAUGGCUAAUAAACUUCAACAGAGUUUUUGCAAGGAACUGUGUCUUAUGAUGAACACCAUACUAGAUGCUGAUUGUCUGUUAUUAUUAAUGCUAUCUUCCUGAAAUGUAUUAUGUAUAUUUAUUUAGUCAUGAACUAUUAAUAAUUCAUGGGAUAUCAUAUAUGUUUGUAAUCUUUGUGAUAUUCUUUCCUCCCAGAACAAAAAGUUAACUCUGUGUCAAAGAAGCCUUGCUUUGAUAAGAUUUCUGUGGAAAUAGUCAAUAUCGAUGUUCCUCCAGCAGAUGUAUUUUCACCAACUUAUCUUCUAUUAUGAAAAAUUUCUUCUAUUAUGAAAAAUAUUUUAUAUUGAUAUACAAGUGUGUGCACCCAUGGGUUUCAACUUUCAGCAGUGACCUAAGUUUGUGUUGAUUCUCUUGUGUUAUGUCAAAGAACUCCAAGCCAUUAUUAGUAUUUUACUUCAUUUUAAAGUAAAAGUGGGAGCUCCUCUUGUGCCUCUGUGUGUUAAGAACCCAACAUAGUGUCCAUGAGUCCCUGGCCUCACUCAGUGGGUUAAGGAUCCAGCAUUACCUCAAGCUGUGGCAUAGGUCACAGGUGUGGCUCUGAUGUGGCAUUGCUGUAGCUGUGGUGUAGGCUGGCUGCUGCAGCUCUGAUUCGACCCCUAGCCUGGAAACUUCCAUAUGCCACAGGUUGGGU
Molecule: long non-coding RNA, 5598 nt
Filed under: Sus scrofa (pig)
Lineage: Eukaryota; Metazoa; Chordata; Mammalia; Artiodactyla; Suidae
Description: lncRNA (ENSSSCG00000060358.1)
Source: RNAcentral